RNAcentral lists this ribosomal RNA (1392 nucleotides) under uncultured bacterium. RNAcentral's name for it is "bacterial SSU rRNA". It matches the Rfam family "Bacterial small subunit ribosomal RNA". The record is from RNAcentral.
AGAGUUUGAUCCUGGCUCAGGAUGAACGCUGGCGGCGUGCUUAACACAUGCAAGUCGAACGAAGCACCUUAUUCUGAUUUCUUCGGAAUGAAAAAUUUGGUGACUGAGUGGCGGACGGGUGAGUAACGCGUGGGUAACCUGCCUCAUACAGGGGGAUAACAGUUAGAAAUGACUGCUAAUACCGCAUAAGACCACAGUACCGCAUGGUGCAGGGGUAAAAACUCCGGUGGUAUGAGAUGGACCCGCGUCUGAUUAGGUAGUUGGUGGGGUAACGGCCUACCAAGCCGACGAUCAGUAGCCGACCUGAGAGGGUGACCGGCCACAUUGGGACUGAGACACGGCCCAAACUCCUACGGGAGGCAGCAGUGGGGAAUAUUGCACAAUGGGGGAAACCCUGAUGCAGCGACGCCGCGUGAGCGAUGAAGUAUUUCGGUAUGUAAAGCUCUAUCAGCAGGGAAGAAAAUGACGGUACCUGACUAAGAAGCACCGGCUAAAUACGUGCCAGCAGCCGCGGUAAUACGUAUGGUGCAAGCGUUAUCCGGAUUUACUGGGUGUAAAGGGAGCGUAGACGGAGUGGCAAGUCUGAUGUGAAAACCCGGGGCUCAACCCCGGGACUGCAUUGGAAACUGUCAAUCUAGAGUACCGGAGAGGUAAGCGGAAUUCCUAGUGUAGCGGUGAAAUGCGUAGAUAUUAGGAGGAACACCAGUGGCGAAGGCGGCUUACUGGACGGUAACUGACGUUGAGGCUCGAAAGCGUGGGGAGCAAACAGGAAGAGAUACCCUGGUAGUCCACGCGGUAAACGAUGAAUGCUAGGUGUCGGGGAGCAAAGCUCUUCGGUGCCGCCGCAAACGCAUUAAGCAUUCCACCUGGGGAGUACGUUCGCAAGAAUGAAACUCAAAGGAAUUGACGGGGACCCGCACAAGCGGUGGAGCAUGUGGUUUAAUUCGAAGCAACGCGAAGAACCUUACCAAGUCUUGACAUCCCUCUGACCGGAACUUAACCGUUCCUUUCCUUCGGGACAGAGGAGACAGGUGGUGCAUGGUUGUCGUCAGCUCGUGUCGUGAGAUGUUGGGUUAAGUCCCGCAACGAGCGCAACCCCUAUCCCCAGUAGCCAGCGGUUCGGCCGGGCACUCUGAGGAGACUGCCAGGGAUAACCUGGAGGAAGGCGGGGAUGACGUCAAAUCAUCAUGCCCCUUAUGAUUUGGGCUACACACGUGCUACAAUGGCGUAAACAAAGGGAAGCGAACCUGCGAGGGUGGGCAAAUCCCAAAAAUAACGUCCCAGUUCGGACUGUAGUCUGCAACCCGACUACACGAAGCUGGAAUCGCUAGUAAUCGCGGAUCAGAAUGCCGCGGUGAAUACGUUCCCGGGUCUUGCACUCACCGCCCGUCA